This 194-nucleotide ribosomal RNA is filed under the name uncultured Rhizophagus. RNAcentral describes it as "partial 18S ribosomal RNA". It matches the Rfam family "Eukaryotic small subunit ribosomal RNA", at positions 569 to 766 of the family's 1831-position model. The record is from RNAcentral. Lineage: Eukaryota; Fungi; Glomeromycota; Glomeromycetes; Glomerales; Glomeraceae.
AGCAGCCGCGGUAAUUCCAGCUCCAAUAGCGUAUAUUAAAGUUGUUGCAGUUAAAAAGCUCGUAGUUGAAUUUCGGGAUCAGUAUGUCGGUCGUGCUUCGGUACGUACUGGUAUGAUUGGUUUCUCCUUUCUGACGAACCAUGAUGUCAUUAAUUUGGUGUCUUGGGAAAUCAGGACUGUUACUUUGAAAAAAU